This 87-nucleotide transfer RNA is filed under the name Pseudomonadota bacterium. RNAcentral describes it as "tRNA-Leu". It matches the Rfam family "tRNA". Rfam says of the family: Transfer RNA (tRNA) molecules are approximately 80 nucleotides in length. Their secondary structure includes four short double-helical elements and three loops (D, anti-codon, and T loops). The record is from RNAcentral. Lineage: Bacteria; Pseudomonadati; Pseudomonadota. RNAcentral also lists the same sequence under 4 other names.
GCCGGGGUGGCGGAAUUGGCAGACGCACCAGCUUGAGGGGCUGGCGGGAGCAAUCCCGUCGGGGUUCAAAUCCCCGUCCCGGCACCA